AGAGUUUGAUCAUGGCUCAGGACGAACGCUGGCGGCGUGCCUAAUACAUGCAAGUCGAGCGGACAGAUGGGAGCUUGCUCCCUGAUGUUAGCGGCGGACGGGUGAGUAACACGUGGGUAACCUGCCUGUAAGACUGGGAUAACUCCGGGAAACCGGGGCUAAUACCGGAUGGUUGUUUGAACCGCAUGGUUCAAACAUAAAAGGUGGCUUCGGCUACCACUUACAGAUGGACCCGCGGCGCAUUAGCUAGUUGGUGAGGUAANGGCUCACCAAGGCAACGAUGCGUAGCCGACCUGAGAGGGUGAUCGGCCACACUGGGACUGAGACACGGCCCAGACUCCUACGGGAGGCAGCAGUAGGGAAUCUUCCGCAAUGGACGAAAGUCUGACGGAGCAACGCCGCGUGAGUGAUGAAGGUUUUCGGAUCGUAAAGCUCUGUUGUUAGGGAAGAACAAGUACCGUUCGAAUAGGGCGGUACCUUGACGGUACCUAACCAGAAAGCCACGGCUAACUACGUGCCAGCAGCCGCGGUAAUACGUAGGUGGCAAGCGUUGUCCGGAAUUAUUGGGCGUAAAGGGCUCGCAGGCGGUUUCUUAAGUCUGAUGUGAAAGCCCCCGGCUCAACCGGGGAGGGUCAUUGGAAACUGGGGAACUUGAGUGCAGAAGAGGAGAGUGGAAUUCCACGUGUAGCGGUGAAAUGCGUAGAGAUGUGGAGGAACACCAGUGGCGAAGGCGACUCUCUGGUCUGUAACUGACGCUGAGGAGCGAAAGCGUGGGGAGCGAACAGGAUUAGAUACCCUGGUAGUCCACGCCGUAAACGAUGAGUGCUAAGUGUUAGGGGGUUUCCGCCCCUUAGUGCUGCAGCUAACGCAUUAAGCACUCCGCCUGGGGAGUACGGUCGCAAGACUGAAACUCAAAGGAAUUGACGGGGGCCCGCACAAGCGGUGGAGCAUGUGGUUUAAUUCGAAGCAACGCGAAGAACCUUACCAGGUCUUGACAUCCUCUGACAAUCCUAGAGAUAGGACGUCCCCUUCGGGGGCAGAGUGACAGGUGGUGCAUGGUUGUCGUCAGCUCGUGUCGUGAGAUGUUGGGUUAAGUCCCGCAACGAGCGCAACCCUUGAUCUUAGUUGCCAGCAUUCAGUUGGGCACUCUAAGGUGACUGCCGGUGACAAACCGGAGGAAGGUGGGGAUGACGUCAAAUCAUCAUGCCCCUUAUGACCUGGGCUACACACGUGCUACAAUGGACAGAACAAAGGGCAGCGAAACCGCGAGGUUAAGCCAAUCCCACAAAUCUGUUCUCAGUUCGGAUCGCAGUCUGCAACUCGACUGCGUGAAGCUGGAAUCGCUAGUAAUCGCGGAUCACAUGCCGGGUGAAAAAACGGUCCCCGGGCCUUGUACACACCGCCCGUCACACCACGAGAGUUUGUAACACCCGAAGUCGGUGAGGUAACCUUU
Molecule: ribosomal RNA, 1453 nt
Filed under: Bacillus sp. A7(2006)
Lineage: Bacteria; Bacillati; Bacillota; Bacilli; Caryophanales; Bacillaceae
Description: 16S ribosomal RNA
Rfam family: Bacterial small subunit ribosomal RNA
Source: RNAcentral